RNAcentral lists this ribosomal RNA (249 nucleotides) under uncultured Syntrophus sp. RNAcentral's name for it is "partial 16S ribosomal RNA". It matches the Rfam family "Bacterial small subunit ribosomal RNA", at positions 796 to 1041 of the family's 1533-position model. The record is from RNAcentral. Lineage: Bacteria; Pseudomonadati; Thermodesulfobacteriota; Syntrophia; Syntrophales; Syntrophaceae.
CACGCCGUAAACGAUGUUCACUAGGUGUUGGGGGUAUUGACCCUCUCAGUGCCGGAGCUAACGCAUUAAGUGAACCGCCUGGGGAGUACGGUCGCAAGACUAAAACUCAAAGGAAUUGACGGGGGCCCGCACAAGCGGUGGAGCAUGUGGUUUAAUUCGAUGCAACGCGAAGAACCUUACCUGGACUUGACAUCCCGGGAAUCUCCUGGAAACAGGGGAGUGCCUUUCGGGGAACCCGGAGACAGGUGC